This 3169-nucleotide long non-coding RNA is filed under the name Xyrichtys novacula (pearly razorfish). Lineage: Eukaryota; Metazoa; Chordata; Actinopteri; Labriformes; Labridae. The record is from RNAcentral.
UACAUCCACUCCAGUACAUUUGUUGGUAAGUAUAAGAGUUUUAUCCAAGACUGACAACAAAUAAGAUAAAAAUAACUGGAUUAAUGUUAAGCUUAAUCCUGUUAAACAACAUGAUAUUCAAGAUAAUGUACAGAAUAUGAUGCACUUUUCAAAUACUGAGUUUAAAUUGAUAUGAAAUGUUGAUUUAUCUGUAACACCGUUGCAUAUUUUAUAAGGAAUAUACAGUUUUUUCCUUGUAGAAAACAGUGUGCUAACAACAUUACUACACUACUAAAUUAAUUUUUCUGAAACAUUUUAUCUUGCAGGGAAAGUCUGAAUCUUGAUUUUGGCAAUUAUUAAGUGGGAAAAUCAUUCAGAUUAAGUACUUUGAAGUGUGAAGUGAGGCUUAUCUGAAUGUAUUAAAUAUCUCUUUUCCCCCCUCUCCCCCGCCUCCUGCCUCAUCAUGUCCUCUGACCGGGGCGAAAAUCCCUACCAACUCUGUAGUGUAAGUUCACACUUAUAUGUACUUAUUAAUCAAUCACUUUAAUGUUACAUUUUUGCUCCGUAGUUUAUAAUGACAUUUCACUGUUUUGUAUUUCACCUCAAUAACAUACAGACGAAAGUAAAGAUAGGUCCUUCGUUGUGUUCGUGCAUUUUCUCUCCGUUUUAGCAAACAUUUUUUACAGGCCAAGGGAGCUGCAGUAACAUCCUUUUACUAAUCGAGUGCGACAAAUUGUAGACUUUGAUAAGAAAUGAGAAAACUAAUGAUCCACACUGAAAAGUUGUGGUUCCAGUAAACUAUAAGAUGCUGAUUUUUUUGCAACUAAAUCUAUUUAUUUUUUGUCCCUCUGUCUUUUCCCUCCUGGACUCCUCAAUGCUAUCUCUAGUGCUAGCCCUGUUCACUGUUGGCAACUCAGCUGUAAGUUCACAAAUAAAGUAACUUAAAAAUGUUUACACUGUUACUUUUUACAACACAUCAUCUAAAAACCUGACAUUAUGUCCUUAAUUAAACUAAUGCAGAACCAAAUGGAUUUAAUUUUGCUGACUGAUUACAGCUGAAACUGCAAUGCAGUGAGAUGUGCUGGUUUUGUACAAUCAAACAAAAAAUCUCUUGUCUCUAUUUUUCCAUUUUCCUUUUUGCCAACUUUGUCCUCUCUCCAAGUGCAGACCGCUUUGUGGUGACUCGACGUAAGUUCACACAGGAAUGACAUUUUCAUGAAUAAGACAGUGUGCCAUUAUUCAACACAUUAUGGACCCCUCAUCAUGUCCUAACUUAAUUCGCUUCCUUUGAUUAUGUAAUACUCACAGUUGGAAAUGAACAGCUUGAAUGUAAUAUGCAAUACACUUAUUUGUAUUUCAUUUCCAGUCAUUGGAAAGCAAUUUAUUACUAUUGAAUUGUGGAGUUGUAAUUUUUUUAAUGAUGAAAAUCCAAAUAAUUACGAAUUGAAUGUGAUUCCCUCCUUUGUGCAUCAUAAAGGAUACUACUAACAAAAAACAAGCUAAUUUUAUGUUCCUUAAUGUGGAAUAGACAAUCAUUAUCUAUGCCGCCAUUGAUUUAUUUUAUCAUUCAUUUAAUCCUAUGUUUAGAAAUGUGUAUAUCCUUCUAAGGUACCUUGCAUGCUUCUGUUCACAGCUUAAGGAGGUGCUUGGCUUUAUUACUACUUAUUAAAUUGUUGUAAUACUUAAAACACAGUAAAGGAAAUUACAUUCUCCAAAACACAUAAUAUUUUAUCAGCAGAGUAAUCCAUUGUUAUUAUUGCUUACCAGGACAUGGUUAUGAACAUUAUAAAGGGAACUUAAAAUAAAGAGUCUAAAAUACACAGGGAUAAUAUAACUUUUUGUAAAAUACUUUGAGGUCCUAAAUUUAAAAAGGUGGCUCUGUGGUUGGUUCAAGUUGGACUCACUGGAGGAUGGUGGUGAGAUGUACUGUGACGAAGGUGGAGGCUAUUCUAAAGAACAUGGAUCACCCACUUCAUAAAACCUUGAUGGACCGAAGGGCCAAUGAUGGUGGACGGCUCUCUUUGCUGCAGGACAAAAAGAUUCAAAAGAUCUUUUGUACCCACAGCCAUCAGACUUAACAAUUUAAAUAGCAGAUGACUUUUUGAGACAUGACAAAUGAGACUAUAGACAAUUAAAUUUCCCUUAGGGGAUAAAUAAAGUUCUUCGUAUCUUAAAUAAAUUUUUAAUUAACUCUUAUGAACACUUUGGAUUUUUAGUCCUUAUUAGUUUGAUUGAAGGAUUAUCGAACAAGACAAUGGUCACUUCCAGCUUUUGACCUUGACUUUUGUUAGAUGUAUAAUUCAGGACAGCCACUUAGUGGGUUGAGUAAAAGUACAUUAUAAUGUCAUUAGCUUGGGUGGAUGUUGGUUCAUUUUAUUUUAUUUCUUUAAUAAAAAGAGAUUGUUUGUUUCCAUUGUGUCUUACAGGUAUCCUGUCCAGUCUCCCACUCUCCCCUAUCGUUUUGGUCGCUCUGUCUUUCCUAUCUCCUCUACCACUCUGUCUGAUUGAAAAGCACUCUGUCUUGUGUCCCCCUUUUCUCUAUCCCUUUGGAUAAGUUUUGGACGAUCUGACUUUCCUGUCUCCUCUACCGCUCUGUCUGAUUGAAAAGCAACUCUGUCUUUCCAUCCCCCUUCUAUCCCAUUCUGACUCAUUGAACAAGCGUUUUACAAGCCUUUUACAAGCAUUUCACAAGCCUUUGACAAGCCUUUCAGAACCUAUUUUGAGAACCUAUUUUGAGAACCUUUUUUGAGAAACCUUUUGAAACAAGCAACCUUUCUUUUAGGCAAAACUUUUGAAACGGAAGUACAUUUAAUACAACUGCUAUUUUGAAAAAUCCCUAAUUUUGCACAAGUCUGAUUGUUGUUCUAGGUCCUCCUCUCCUGUCUGUGGAUCCAGAGUUUCGCCAGAAGAAGUGUCAUCAACACCACCACAUCUGCAUCCCUGAUUUUGAAAGAACAUAAAAACACGUUUUAUAUAGAAUAUUUGAGUUAGAUAUUAUUUCAAGCAACCCUUGAAUACCCUAUUUUGAAAGAAAAAGUUUCAUAGAAAAUAUUUGAGUUACAUAUUAUUUCAAGCACAAAGAUCUAAGAUUUAAAAUUUGUUGAUAGUUUGUGUUUUUUCUUAAAACAUUUAUAUAGUCUUGCCAAAGAUUUCCUUAUAAAACAUUUGAUUAACUAUUGUUGGCAUACAC